Molecule: long non-coding RNA, 1595 nt
Organism: Mesocricetus auratus (golden hamster)
Lineage: Eukaryota; Metazoa; Chordata; Mammalia; Rodentia; Cricetidae
Exons: 3
Source: RefSeq, a predicted model, not a curated record
GGAGCUCUCUUCCAGUCUUCACCUCUGUGGGCUUUGUAGAGAGAUGGGUGACAAGAGACAGAAUUUGCCUCUGACUCUUCAGUUCUUACUCUCCAAAAGACACACAUUGCAUCAACCAUGUGACACAGAGUCAGGCCCAAGGGACAUGAGAAAUUAAAAGGGACAAUGAUGGAGCCAGGAUGGGCAGCAAGCAGGACUGAGAGAUAGUAUGUCUGAAGGGACAGGGGAGCAAGCAGGAGUUGGAAAGGGAGCUGCAGAGAGGAGGAGCAGCUGGGACCUUGCUUCUGCCUCCCUAGAUCUGAUUGUAGAAUAAAAAGGGGAGCUAGGUCUGUGACUGAAGGAGGUGGGGAGGAGCGGAGGAAAGGAGGUGAUGGAGAGAUGGGAGAAGGAGCUUCCUGGAGGGAGGCAGGGACUCAGCAACAGCUUAGGUAAUUGGCUAACUAGAGUCUCUUGCUGCCGUCAGGAGGAGCGAGGGCUGAAGGCACAGACUGCAAGAUAGAUGCACUGUGUUCCACCGGCACAUCCAUGCCUGUAUGCCUGAAGAGCCGGCAGGGCUGCUACUUCAGGACAUGUUCUGCUCAGCUGGCUACUGGCUGCAGUAUGGUGAGAAGAACAUAUGCAGAGCUCAGAAAACUUGGAGAGGUGCACCCAGAAAAGAAUCUGGAAGAGAAGAGACUCAAAACCUCACUGUGCGUACACAGCGCAGCGCUCUGCCUGACUUCUCUUCCUGACCCAGAGACCUGGCCAGUUGAGUGUGCAGAUGCUUUUGCAUACUUAGUCUAAGGCGGAGAAAGCCUCUCCUCACAGCAAGGCCAAGGUGGAGCCACAGGGGUGGCAGUGAAGAGGAGAGCAGCAUUCUGGGAAGAAAUAGGGAAGAAAGAAGGAAGAGAAUGCUGGAGAAUCGGUGUUCACCAUGACCGUGUGGCUGGGGACCUCUGGCCUCCAUUCUGGAAGCACGCAAGUCUAUCUCCAGAUGUAGACUUGUGCCUUAAACACCAUCUUACUCUAGGCCUCAGACACUUCACACCCUUAAUGAUCCGUAGCAUGGGAAUGACACCUCCUGACUGCCACUUGCUAUGAAGGACACUGCCUGAGAGACUGUGUCUUCUCUGGGGUGGCAGGGGCAUUCAGACUGUGAUCAGGAGUGGGGACUCUCAGGACUUCACCUAGGUUUAAAUACUGUCAUCACUUGCCAGUUCUGUGACCUUGGGGGUAUUGCUUGCUUAUCCUGAGCCUGUUCCCUCAUCUGUAAAAUGGGGAUAAUAAUAAGCCUGCCUGCUGUUGUGUGCUGCGGAGAUGGAAUGGGGGACAAGUCUCCACAUGUUGCUUGUUCCAGAAAAAAACAAACAAAAAACAAAAAAAUUCCCCCAAACCCCCCCCCACUUGCUGUGAUUCUCUCAUACUGGAGUACUACUUGCAUCUUUUGGCAAAACCACCCUUGGGUAGUUUCCAGUGCUGUGAUUUGUCCCCAGCAUGUGAGGCUUAUGGGAAUCAAGCUUCUGAGUCCCUUGUGGCCAUAUCUCUUUCUCUCUGGUGUUCUCAUCCUGCAUCCCAGACUAAUGGAAUCAUUAUUAAUGUUCCCUAAUUCCAGAGCC